RNAcentral lists this ribosomal RNA (590 nucleotides) under Carabus dufouri. RNAcentral's name for it is "partial large subunit ribosomal RNA". It matches the Rfam family "Bacterial large subunit ribosomal RNA", at positions 1921 to 2758 of the family's 2925-position model. The record is from RNAcentral. Lineage: Eukaryota; Metazoa; Arthropoda; Insecta; Coleoptera; Carabidae.
UUUUAAAUGGCCGCAGUAUUUUGACUGUGCAAAGGUAGCAUAAUCAUUAGUUUUUUAAUUAAAAGCUUGUAUGAAAGGCUGGACGAGGUAAAAUCUGUCUCUAUCUAAAUUAUAGUAGAAUUUAACUUUUAAGUUAAAAGGCUUAAAUAUUAUUAAAAGACGAGAAGACCCUAUAGAUCUUUAUAGCUUAUUAAAUUAAAUUAAUUUAGAAAUAUUAAUGUUUUAUUUAAUUAAGGUAUUUUAUUGGGGUAAUAAAAAGAUUAAAUAAAUUCUUUUUUAUAAUAAACAUUAAUUUAUGAAUAUUAAUGAUCCAGUUUUACUGAUUAUAAGAUUAAGUUACCUUAGGGAUAACAGCGUAAUUUUUUUAGAGAGUUCAUAUCGAUAAAAAAGUUUGCGACCUCGAUGUUGGAUUAAAGAUUAUUUUAGGUGUAGAAGCUUAAUAAUUUUGGUCUGUUCGACCAUUAAAUCUUUACAUGAUCUGAGUUCAGACCGGCGUAAGCCAGGUCGGUUUCUAUCUUUAAUAAAAUAAAAUAUUUUAGUACGAAAGGACCAAAUAUUUAAUAUAUUUAUAUUUAAUUUAUUGAAUAUUA